RNAcentral lists this ribosomal RNA (253 nucleotides) under uncultured bacterium. RNAcentral describes it as "partial 16S ribosomal RNA". It matches the Rfam family "Bacterial small subunit ribosomal RNA", at positions 524 to 776 of the family's 1533-position model. The record is from RNAcentral.
UACGUAGGGUGCAAGCGUUAAUCGGAAUUACUGGGCGUAAAGCGUGCGCAGGCGGUUAUGUAAGACAGGUGUGAAAUCCCCGGGCUUAACCUGGGAACUGCAUUUGUGACUGCAUAGCUAGAGUACGGUAGAGGGGGUUGGAAUUCCGCGUGUAGCAGUGAAAUGCGUAGAUAUGCGGAGGAACACCGAUGGCGAAGGCAAUCCCCUGGACCUGUACUGACGCUCAUGCACGAAAGCGUGGGGAGCAAACAGG